AAUCUCCCGCCUGUUUUGGGAUUUCGCUGCCGUUUCCACGGCGCGAAUGAAAAGGGAAGCCGGUGACUCUGGACUAGUUCAGACAUUCCGGCGCAGCCCCCGCUGCUGUAAGCCAGACAACUCCGCCACACGCCACUGUGCCUUCGGGUAUGGGAAGGUCGGCGGACGAGAUUGAAGGCGAGCCAGAAGACCUGCCCAAAUCAAAGAUAGCGU
RNAcentral lists this non-coding RNA (213 nucleotides) under Candidatus Propionivibrio aalborgensis. RNAcentral also lists the same sequence under 1 other name. Lineage: Bacteria; Pseudomonadati; Pseudomonadota; Betaproteobacteria; Rhodocyclales; Rhodocyclaceae. The record is from RNAcentral.